UACGUAGGGCGCAAGCGUUAUCCGGAAUUAUUGGGCGUAAAGAGCUCGUAGGCGGUUUGUCGCGUCUGCCGUGAAAGUCCGGGGCUCAACUCCGGAUCUGCGGUGGGUACGGGCAGACUAGAGUGAUGUAGGGGAGACUGGAAUUCCUGGUGUAGCGGUGAAAUGCGUAGAUAUACGGAGGAACACCAGAGGCGAAGGCGGAUCGCUGGGCCAACACUGACGCUGAGACGCGAAAGCUAGGGUAGCAAACGGG
This 253-nucleotide ribosomal RNA is filed under the name uncultured bacterium. Its description in RNAcentral is "partial 16S ribosomal RNA". It matches the Rfam family "Bacterial small subunit ribosomal RNA", at positions 524 to 776 of the family's 1533-position model. The record is from RNAcentral.